GGAAGUAAAGGUGUUCAAGGAUUCAAGGGUGAACGAGGAGAUCCUGGUCUACCAGGGGACACUGGUACACGUGGUUCAGAUAAUCUCUUUCGAGGAAGGAAGGGUGAUAAAGGACAACGUGGUAUACAGGGUGAAGUUGGAUUAGACGGUGCACCAGGCCAGGCUGGCAAUGAAGGAAAUC
Amblyraja radiata (thorny skate) is the source of this 181-nucleotide long non-coding RNA. RefSeq lists it as uncharacterized. The record is from RefSeq and is a predicted model, not a curated record. The transcript is spliced from 3 exons. Lineage: Eukaryota; Metazoa; Chordata; Chondrichthyes; Rajiformes; Rajidae.